CGAGCGAACGGACGAGAAGCUUGCUUCUCUGAUGUUAGCGGCGGACGGGUGAGUAACACGUGGAUAACCUACCUAUAAGACUGGGAUAACUUCGGGAAACCGGAGCUAAUACCGGAUAAUAUUUUGAACCGCAUGGUUCAAAAGUGAAAGACGGUCUUGCUGUCACUUAUAGAUGGAUCCGCGCUGCAUUAGCUAGUUGGUAAGGUAACGGCUUACCAAGGCAACGAUGCAUAGCCGACCUGAGAGGGUGAUCGGCCACGCUGGAACUGAGACACGGUCCAGACUCCUACGGGAGGCAGCAGUAGGGAAUCUUCCGCAAUGGGCGAAAGCCUGACGGAGCAACGCCGCGUGAGUGAUGAAGGCCUUCGGAUCGUAAAACUCUGUUAUUAGGGAAGAACAUGUGUGUAAGUAACUGUGCACAUCUUGACGGUACCUAAUCAGAAAGCCACGGCUAACUACGUGCCAGCAGCCGCGGUAAUACGUAGGUGGCAAGCGUUAUCCGGAAUUAUUGGGCGUAAAGCGCGCGUAGGCGGUUUUUUAAGUCUGAUGUGAAAGCCCACGGCUCAACCGUGGAGGGUCAUUGGAAACUGGAAAACUUGAGUGCAGAAGAGGAAAGUGGAAUUCCAUGUGUAGCGGUGAAAUGCGCAGAGAUAUGGAGGAACACCAGUGGCGAAGGCG
This 678-nucleotide ribosomal RNA is filed under the name uncultured Staphylococcus sp. RNAcentral describes it as "bacterial SSU rRNA". It matches the Rfam family "Bacterial small subunit ribosomal RNA", at positions 63 to 723 of the family's 1533-position model. Lineage: Bacteria; Bacillati; Bacillota; Bacilli; Caryophanales; Staphylococcaceae. The record is from RNAcentral.